AAUGAGGUGGCAGAGUGGAAUGCGGUCCGCUGUAAACGGAUGGUAUAAGAGUUCGAUUCUCUUUUUCAUUA
RNAcentral lists this transfer RNA (71 nucleotides) under Iotrochota birotulata (green finger sponge). RNAcentral describes it as "tRNA-Tyr". It matches the Rfam family "tRNA". From Rfam's summary of the family: Transfer RNA (tRNA) molecules are approximately 80 nucleotides in length. Their secondary structure includes four short double-helical elements and three loops (D, anti-codon, and T loops). Further hydrogen bonds mediate the characteristic L-shaped molecular structure. tRNAs have two regions of fundamental functional importance: the anti-codon, which is responsible for specific mRNA codon recognition, and the 3' end, to which the tRNAs corresponding amino acid is attached (by aminoacyl-tRNA synthetases). tRNAs cope with the degeneracy of the genetic code in two manners: having more than one tRNA (with a specific anti-codon) for a particular amino acid; and 'wobble' base-pairing, i.e. permitting non-standard base-pairing at the 3rd anti-codon position. Lineage: Eukaryota; Metazoa; Porifera; Demospongiae; Poecilosclerida; Iotrochotidae. The record is from RNAcentral.